This 305-nucleotide ribosomal RNA is filed under the name uncultured bacterium. Its description in RNAcentral is "bacterial SSU rRNA". It matches the Rfam family "Bacterial small subunit ribosomal RNA", at positions 335 to 639 of the family's 1533-position model. The record is from RNAcentral.
GGCCUACGGGGGCAGCAGUGAGGAAUAUUGGUCAAUGGCCGAGAGGCUGAACCAGCCAAGUCGCGUGAGGGAUGACGGCCCUACGGGUUGUAAACCUCUUUUGUCGGGGAGCAAGACCCGCCUCGUGCAGGCGGAGCGAGAGUACCCGAAGAAAAAGCAUCGGCUAACUCCGUGCCAGCAGCCGCGGUAAUACGGAGAAUGCGAGCGUUAUCCGGAUUUAUUGGGUUUAAAGGGUGCGCAGGCGGCGAGUUAAGUCAGCGGUAAAAUUUCGGGGCUCAACCCCGAUGAGCCGUUGAAACUGGCUU